Molecule: transfer RNA, 75 nt
Filed under: Deltaproteobacteria bacterium
Lineage: Bacteria; Pseudomonadati; Myxococcota; Myxococcia
Also listed under: 1 other name
Description: tRNA-Val
Rfam family: tRNA
About the family: Transfer RNA (tRNA) molecules are approximately 80 nucleotides in length. Their secondary structure includes four short double-helical elements and three loops (D, anti-codon, and T loops). Further hydrogen bonds mediate the characteristic L-shaped molecular structure. tRNAs have two regions of fundamental functional importance: the anti-codon, which is responsible for specific mRNA codon recognition, and the 3' end, to which the tRNAs corresponding amino acid is attached (by aminoacyl-tRNA synthetases). tRNAs cope with the degeneracy of the genetic code in two manners: having more than one tRNA (with a specific anti-codon) for a particular amino acid; and 'wobble' base-pairing, i.e. permitting non-standard base-pairing at the 3rd anti-codon position.
Source: RNAcentral
AGGCGGGUAGCUCAGUGGGAGAGCAUCGGCCUUACAAGCCGAGGGUCGCGGGUUCAAGCCCCGCUCCGCCUACCA